GCCAGACUCCUACGGGAGGCAGCAGUGGGGAAUAUUGCACAAUGGGGGAAACCCUGAUGCAGCGACGCCGCGUGAGUGAAGAAGUAUUUCGGUAUGUAAAGCUCUAUCAGCAGGGAAGAAAAUGACGGUACCUGAUUAAGAAGCCCCGGCUAACUACGUGCCAGCAGCCGCGGUAAUACGUAGGGGGCAAGCGUUAUCCGGAUUUACUGGGUGUAAAGGGAGCGUAGACGGUGAUGCAAGUCAGAAGUGAAAGCCCGGGGCUCAACUCCGGGACUGCUUUUGAAACUGUGUGACUGGAGUGCAGGAGAGGUAAGCGGAAUUCCUAGUGUAGCGGUGAAAUGCAUAGAUAUUAGGAGGAACACCAGUGGCGAAGGCGGCUUACUGGACUGUAACUGACACUGAGGCUCGAAAGCGUGGGGAGCAAACAGGAUUAGAUACCCCGGUAA
Molecule: ribosomal RNA, 446 nt
Filed under: uncultured bacterium
Lineage: Bacteria
Description: bacterial SSU rRNA
Rfam family: Bacterial small subunit ribosomal RNA
Source: RNAcentral